Molecule: ribosomal RNA, 253 nt
Filed under: uncultured bacterium
Lineage: Bacteria
Description: partial 16S ribosomal RNA
Rfam family: Bacterial small subunit ribosomal RNA
Source: RNAcentral
UACGUAGGAUGCAAGCGUUGUCCGGAAUUAUUGGGCGUAAAGCGCGCGCAGGCGGUUUCUUAAGUCUGAUGUGAAAGCCCACGGCUCAACCGUGGAGGGUCAUUGGAAACUGGGAAACUUGAGUGCAGAAGAGAAGAGUGGAAUUCCACGUGUAGCGGUGAAAUGCGUAGAGAUGUGGAGGAACACCAGUGGCGAAGGCGACUCUUUGGUCUGUAACUGACGCUGAGGCGCGAAAGCGUGGGGAGCAAACAGG